Molecule: unclassified non-coding RNA, 283 nt
Filed under: uncultured fungus
Lineage: Eukaryota; Fungi
Description: partial contains small subunit ribosomal RNA, internal transcribed spacer 1, and 5.8S ribosomal RNA
Rfam family: Eukaryotic small subunit ribosomal RNA (bases 1-73)
Source: RNAcentral
GCAAACUUGGUCAUUUAGAGGAAGUAAAAGUCGUAACAAGGUUUCCGUAGGUGAACCUGCGGAAGGAUCAUUACAAAUUCAUGGUGGUGGUGGGUGGGAGGGGAAGGAGAGAGAGAGUUUGGUUCGAGUGCAUUUGCCUUGGAUGAUACUCCUCGCUCUUCCCUCAUUUGCUUACCAAUCCACAUUUACGCUUGUUGUGUUUGACAGAGUAUUAUAUUUAUGAGAAUCUAUGACAACUUUUAACAAUGGAUCUCUUGGCUCUUGCAUCGAUGAAGAACGCAGC